GGCCAGACUCCUACGGGAGGCAGCAGUGGGGAAUCUUCCGCAAUGGGCGCAAGCCUGACGGAGCAAUGCCGCGUGAACGAAGAAGGUCUUCGGAUUGUAAAGUUCUGUCCUUAUCGAAGAGAGGGUAUAGAGUGAAAAAUGAUAUACUAGGACGGUAGAUGAGGAGGAAGCCCCGGCUAACUACGUGCCAGCAGCCGCGGUAAUACGUAGGGGGCGAGCGUUGUCCGGAUUCACUGGGUGUAAAGGGAGCGUAGACGGCCAUGCAAGCCAGGGGUGAAAGCCCGGGGGCCAACCCCGGGACUGCCCUUGGAACUGCAUGGCUGGAGUGCGGGAGGGGCAGGCGGAAUUCCUGGUGUAGCGGUGAAAUGCGUAGAUAUCAGGAGGAACACCGGCGGCGAAGGCGGCCUGCUGGACCGCGACUGACGUUGAGGCUCGAAAGCGUGGGGAGCGAACAGGAUUAGAUACCCCAGUAC
Molecule: ribosomal RNA, 473 nt
Filed under: uncultured bacterium
Lineage: Bacteria
Description: bacterial SSU rRNA
Rfam family: Bacterial small subunit ribosomal RNA
Source: RNAcentral